This 42-nucleotide transfer RNA is filed under the name Metrosideros sp. 'sepikensis'. RNAcentral's name for it is "partial tRNA-Phe". Lineage: Eukaryota; Viridiplantae; Streptophyta; Magnoliopsida; Myrtales; Myrtaceae. The record is from RNAcentral.
UCGGGAUAGCUCANCUGGUAGAGCAGAGGACUGAAAAUCCUC